This 1226-nucleotide ribosomal RNA is filed under the name uncultured archaeon. RNAcentral's name for it is "bacterial SSU rRNA". It matches the Rfam family "Archaeal small subunit ribosomal RNA", at positions 25 to 1259 of the family's 1478-position model. The record is from RNAcentral.
CACUGCUAUUGGGAUUCGACUAAGCCAUGCGAGUCGAGAGGGUUCGGCCCUCGGCUGACGGCUCAGUAACACGUGGAUAAUCUGCCCUUAGGUGAAGGAUAAUCUCGGGAAACUGAGGAUAAUACUCCAUAGAUCUAGGAUGCUGGAAUGCAUCUAGAUUGAAAGCCCCGGCGCCUAAGGAUGAGUCUGCGGACUAUCAGGUUGUAGUCAGGGUAAAGACCUGACUAGCCUACGACGGAUACGGGUUGUGAGAGCAAUGACCCGGAGACGAUAUCUGAGACACGAUAUCGGGCCCUACGGGGCGCAGCAGGCGCGAAAACUUCACACUGUGCGAAAGCGCGAUGAGGGACUCCCAAGUGUUUGCUCGUAAGAGUAAACUGUUUCUUUGUUUAAAACGCAGAGAGAGUAAGGGCUGGGUAAGACGGGUGCCAGCCGCCGCGGUAAUACCUGCAGCUCAAGUGGUGAUCAUUAUUAUUGGGCCUAAAACGUCCGUAGCCGGUUUAGUAAAUGCCUGGGUAAAUCGUGUAGCUUAACUAUACGACUUCCGGGUAGACUGCUAAACUUGAGACCGGGAGAGGCUAGAGGUACUCCUGGGGUAGAGGUGAAAUUCUGUAAUCCUAGGGGGACCACCAGUGGCGAAGGCGUCUAGCUAGAACGGGUCUGACGGUGAGGGACGAAGUCCUGGGGCACAAACCGGAUUAGAUACCCGGGUAGUCCAGGGUGUGAACGCUGCUUGCUUGAUGUUAGUUGGGCUUCGAGCCCCACUAGUGUCGGAGAGAAGUUGUUAAGCAAGCUGCCUGGGAAGUACGGUCGCAAGGCUGAAACUUAAAGGAAUUGGCGGGGGAGCACAGCAACGGGUGGAGCGUGCGGUUUAAUUGGAUUCAACGCCGGAAAACUCACCGGAGGCGACGGUUACAUGAAGGCCAGGCUGAUGACCUUGCCUGAUUUUCCGAGAGGUGGUGCAUGGCCGCCGUCAGUUCGUACCGUAAGGCGUUCUGUUAAGUCAGACAACGAACGAGACCCUCAUCUUUAAUUGCUACUAGUAAGUUUGCUUACUGGGCACAUUAAAGAAACCGCUGGCGAUAAGUCAGAGGAAGGCGAGGGCAACGGUAGGUCAGUAUGCCCUGAAUCCUCCGGGCUACACGCGCGCUACAAGGCUAGGACAAUGAGCUUCAACACCGAGAGGUGAAGGUAAUCUCGAAACCUAGUCGUAGUUCGGAUUGAGG